GAUGAAGAACGUAGCGAAAUGCGAUACUUGGUGUGAAUUGCAGAAUCCCGUGAACCAUCGAGUCUUUGAACGCAAGUUGCGCCCGAAGCCAUUAGGCCGAGGGCACGCCUGCCUGGGCGUCACACGUCGUUGCCCCCCCAUCUACUCCUUCGGGAUUGCGGGGGGCGGAUGAUGGCCUCCCGUGCGCCUCGUCGCGCGGUUGGCAUAAAUGCCAAGUCCUCGGCGACGCACGCCACGACAAUCGGUGGUUGCGAAACCUCGGUUGCCCGUCGUGUGCGGUCGUCGCGCAUCGAGGGCUCGAAAAAAUUGCCGGGCUCCGGCUUGGCUUUCAACGCGACCCCAGGUCAGGCGGGGUUACCCGCUGAAUUUAAGCAUAUCAAUAAGCGGAGGA
Molecule: unclassified non-coding RNA, 391 nt
Filed under: soil metagenome
Description: partial contains 5.8S ribosomal RNA, internal transcribed spacer 2, and large subunit ribosomal RNA
Rfam family: 5.8S ribosomal RNA (bases 1-122)
Source: RNAcentral